This 83-nucleotide transfer RNA is filed under the name Anaerolineae bacterium. Its description in RNAcentral is "tRNA-Ser". The record is from RNAcentral. Lineage: Bacteria; Bacillati; Chloroflexota; Anaerolineae.
GGAGGGUACCGGGCGAUGGUGCCCAACCCGGCUUGAACCCGGGGGUGGCUGAAAGGCCAGGGGUUCGACUCCUCUACCCUCCG